GUUUAUUGUGAAUUAGUGAUGUGAAAAGUUGGUUCAUAAAUUACAAAUUAAAAUGGUGCAUUAGCAAAAUGAAAAUUAUGAUGCCGUACAAUGAAUCGACGUAGCCGUAGCUUAGGCAGAUUGUGUCCUUCGCAAUCCCCGAAACAGGACGAUAUUAGGAGUAAAUCCAGGAACAGGAGGGAAUGUGGAUGCGCGUGGCGAUAUCAAACGGACAUAAAUUACUUGGAGAAGCACGUGAGAAACAGGGCAGGUGCGGUGUGUUUUGAAAAUAUGCAAUAAAAUAAUAUAUUGUGCGGUUGUA
Aethina tumida (small hive beetle) is the source of this 301-nucleotide long non-coding RNA. RefSeq lists it as uncharacterized. The record is from RefSeq and is a predicted model, not a curated record. NCBI's taxonomy places the organism in Eukaryota, Metazoa, Arthropoda, Insecta, Coleoptera, Nitidulidae. The transcript is spliced from 2 exons.